UACGAAGGGGGCUAGCGUUGCUCGGAAUCACUGGGCGUAAAGGGUGCGUAGGCGGGUCUUUAAGUCAGGGGUGAAAUCCUGGAGCUCAACUCCAGAACUGCCUUUGAUACUGAGGAUCUUGAGUUCGGGAGAGGUGAGUGGAACUGCGAGUGUAGAGGUGAAAUUCGUAGAUAUUGGGAAAAGAACCACGGUGGCGAAGGCGGCUCACUGGCUCGUAUCUGACGCUCAGGCGCGACAGCGUGGGGAUCAAACAGG
RNAcentral lists this ribosomal RNA (255 nucleotides) under uncultured bacterium. Its description in RNAcentral is "partial 16S ribosomal RNA". It matches the Rfam family "Bacterial small subunit ribosomal RNA", at positions 524 to 776 of the family's 1533-position model. The record is from RNAcentral.